UUGUAGAAAAAGAAAGUGAAGAAAGAUUCCAAUGCCCCAGGGUCGUCUUUCAUCCGAACUGCAACUAAAUCGCCAGCGGGUCAUGUGACCGGACCGUCUGGCUCUGGGACACAGGCAGCUCGGUCCGGUUUUUCACGGGACACAAGGGAGCGAUAUAUUCACUGGACUUUUCACCUGAUGGCCGGGCGUUGAUAAGCGUAUUCUAGUUUGGGAUCUCGCAGAGGGGACACCAUUGACCGAGCUAAAAGGACACUCAGAUACAGUGUACUCUUUGAUGUUUA
Pocillopora verrucosa is the source of this 281-nucleotide non-coding RNA. The record is from RefSeq and is a predicted model, not a curated record. Lineage: Eukaryota; Metazoa; Cnidaria; Anthozoa; Scleractinia; Pocilloporidae.